GACGAACGCUGGCGGCGUGCUUAACACAUGCAAGUCGAACGGAAAGGCCCUGCUUUUGUGGGGUGCUCGAGUGGCGAACGGGUGAGUAACACGUGAGUAACCUGCCCUUGACUUUGGGAUAACUUCAGGAAACUGGGGCUAAUACCGGAUAGGAGCUCCUGCUGCAUGGUGGGGGUUGGAAAGUUUCGGCGGUUGGGGAUGGACUCGCGGCUUAUCAGCUUGUUGGUGGGGUAGUGGCUUACCAAGGCUUUGACGGGUAGCCGGCCUGGGAGGGUGACCGGCCACAUUGGGGCUGAGAUACGGCCCAGACGCCUACGGGAGGCAGCAGUGGGGAAUAUUGCACAAUGGGCGGAAGCCUGAUGCAGCAACGCCGCGUGCGGGAUGACGGCCUUCGGGUUGUAAACCGCUUUCGCCUGUGACGAAGCGUGAGUGACGGGAAUGGGUAAAGAAGCACAGGCUAACUACGU
RNAcentral lists this ribosomal RNA (467 nucleotides) under uncultured bacterium. RNAcentral's name for it is "partial 16S ribosomal RNA". It matches the Rfam family "Bacterial small subunit ribosomal RNA", at positions 28 to 506 of the family's 1533-position model. The record is from RNAcentral.